AUACGUAGGGGGCGAGCGUUGUCCGGAAUGAUUGGGCGUAAAGGGCGCGUAGGCGGCCCGGUAAGUCUGGAGUGAAAGUCCUGUUUUUAAGAUGGGAAUUGCUUUGGAUACUGUCGGGCUUGAGUGCAGGAGAGGUAAGUGGAAUUCCCAGUGUAGCGGUGAAAUGCGUAGAGAUUUGGAGGAACACCAGUGGCGAAGGCGGCUUACUGGACUGUAACUGACGCUGAGGCGCGAAAGUGUGGGGAGCAAACAGGAUUAGAUACCCUGGUAGUCCACGCUGUAAACGAUGAGUGCUAGGUGUAGGGGGUAUCGACCCCUUCUGUGCUGCAGUUAACACAAUAAGCAUUCCGCCUGGGGAGUACGGCCGCAAGGUUGAAACUCAAAGGAAUUGACGGGG
RNAcentral lists this ribosomal RNA (397 nucleotides) under uncultured bacterium. RNAcentral describes it as "partial 16S ribosomal RNA". It matches the Rfam family "Bacterial small subunit ribosomal RNA", at positions 523 to 918 of the family's 1533-position model. The record is from RNAcentral.